Long non-coding RNA from Mirounga angustirostris (Northern elephant seal), 1316 nucleotides. RefSeq lists it as uncharacterized. The transcript is spliced from 4 exons. NCBI's taxonomy places the organism in Eukaryota, Metazoa, Chordata, Mammalia, Carnivora, Phocidae. The record is from RefSeq and is a predicted model, not a curated record.
UUCUGCCCCUUUCUCUCUCGUUCUCGCUCUCGAGCUCGGUGCGUCAGGGAUUCAGCGCCGCAGGGCCGACGAGACCGCUUCCGGCCGUGGCCGCUGCGGGGCGCUGCAGGGCCGGCCAGCCCUUUUCCUGCCCGCUUCCCCCUCCUCUCCCUCCGCCCCUCCAGGAGACCCCGCCCAGCGGCGCGGCGUCAGCGCUGGGCGGCCGGGGAAGGGACGCUCUGGGCUGUGUGAACUCUAUGGUUUCCAGGUCUGGCCGGGAGUCUAGGAGGGGGAUGGGAAUAACCAGAAGGGGCUUGGGGACAGGCUAGCGCGCCGGGGUUUGCUCUGGAAUUCUCACGCCCUACCGGGCUCGAGCACCCUAGCAUCUCCACGAUCGCCCCAGAUGGCCUGGAUGGAGAUAGGAACGACCGGCAAAAGCGGGAGAUAGACGGGGACCCGGGAAGGCGAGGGCGCGGUGACCUGAGCUGGAAUCCCAGAGGUACCGGAGGCAGGACACCGAACUUGAGUCGCACUUUUCGUGGCUGUAAAAAUAAGACUAACUAUGGUAAAAUAGAUCUGUGCGGCUUCUGGCACAUGACCUUAUUUAUUUAUUUGACAGACAGACAGCGAGAGAGGGAACACAAGCAGGGGGAGUGGGAGAAGCAGGCUUCCCGCCGACCAGGGAGCCCGAUGCGGGGCUAAAUCCCAGGACCCUGGGGCAAUGAUCUCAGCGUAAGGCAGAACGGCGAAAGACUGAGCCACCGAGGCGCCCCCUAAGAGUCUUCUUUAUCACUGCCGCCCCCACCCGCACAAGAAUUAAGAAUAUAAAAAGCUGAACACAAAAUAUAAAAUUUCUGAUUUAACUUUCAAAGAUGAAGAAAAUAUGAAAAGCUCUCCAUAAGAAAAAUUGAAGGCUCAAGAAAAGUCCUGUAAAAAUACCCAAGCUGCAUCAAAAUUAGGGCUUUUUGGCCAUCCAAGUGCCCGGUGGUUCAACAAAACUUCGUCCAGCACUGAAUGAAGGUCCUGUCCCCGUGCUGUAAUAAAGACACACCUUUUUGCACUGUAAAACGUCUCAACAAUUCUUUCUUCACCGUUCGGUUCAACAGUCCCGCAUUAAUAACCUAUACCAUUUACUGUCAACAAAUGUUUACUCAGAACCCAACUGGUGUUAGGUGCUCCCUGCCAGGCCAGGAAAUAGGGAAACUUAAAAAAAAAAAAAACAGCAACACAUAGCUUUGGCCCUCUAAAGUACUUACAGACGAGAGAAUGAAGAAAACAGGCAAGAAACCAGCAAGCUGCAAUACACUGUGACAAAGAAUGAGGCACAUACCUCUAAU